GGCCUCGAGGGACCGCCGGGCUUUUGAGACAGCCGGCCCGGGCCCGGUGGCCGCUGCUUUUUUACCGCUUUCAGCGUGACCUUCGUUGCGUCUUUUGACCUGUCUGGUCACAGUGUCUUCACCUACAAAAAGGGAAGGUGGUUUCUUCCUCAUCCGUUCCAGAGGCUCAAGGAGCACCGUCGGCCCUUAGUGGGCGUCAGCUUUGUGGUAGCGUUUGUGAUUGGAGUUGGGAAGCUGCAGGAGGGUCACCGGGCCUGUGCUGUCAAGGAGAAAAACUACCAUGGCUUCCAGUUCUUUGACAAAACCUCAGAUGCGUGGCCUUCUGGCCAAGCGUCUGCGAUUUCAUAUUGUUGGAGCAUUCGUUGUCUCCUUGGGAGUUGCAGCUUUCUAUAAGUUUGCUGUGGCUGAACCAAGAAAGAAGGCAUAUGCAGAUUUCUACAGAAAUUAUGAUUCCAUAAAAGAUUUUGAGGAGAUGAGGAAGGCUGGUAUCUUUCAGAGUGCAAAGUGAUUUUGGAAUAUAAAGGCAGACUGUUCCUGAAGGAGCAUUCCAACUGCCAUAUAAUUUCUUUGGGUUGAGUUCCAUGGAAGUUUGUCACUUACCUGUGUUCCUGAACUAUGAACUACUAAUAUCUGGGCUAAGGAAUAGUUUCUCAUGAUAAAUAAACGAUUAACAAAUA
Balaenoptera acutorostrata (minke whale) is the source of this 677-nucleotide RNA transcript. It is a transcript of the gene named cytochrome c oxidase subunit 6C, with no coding region annotated. The transcript is spliced from 5 exons. The record is from RefSeq and is a predicted model, not a curated record. NCBI's taxonomy places the organism in Eukaryota, Metazoa, Chordata, Mammalia, Artiodactyla, Balaenopteridae.